AUUGAACGCUGGCGGCAUGCCUUACACAUGCAAGUCGAACGGCAGCACGGGAGCAAUCCUGGUGGCGAGUGGCGAACGGGUGAGUAAUAUAUCGGAACGUGCCCGGUCGUGGGGAUAACGUAGCGAAAGCUACGCUAAUACCGCAUACGAUCUAUGGAUGAAAGCGGGGGAUCGCAAGACCUCGCGCGAUUGGAGCGGCCGAUAUCAGAUUAGGUAGUUGGUGAGGUAAAGGCUCACCAAGCCGACGAUCUGUAGCUGGUCUGAGAGGACGACCAGCCACACUGGGACUGAGACACGGCCCAGACUCCUACGGGAGGCAGCAGUGGGGAAUUUUCCGCAAUGGGCGAAAGCCUGACGGAGCAAUAACCGCGUGAGGGAAGAAUGCCUAUGGGUUGUAAACCUCUUUUUCUAGGGAGGAAGUAAAUAGACGUGUACCUGAAGAA
This 443-nucleotide ribosomal RNA is filed under the name uncultured bacterium. RNAcentral describes it as "bacterial SSU rRNA". It matches the Rfam family "Bacterial small subunit ribosomal RNA", at positions 30 to 486 of the family's 1533-position model. The record is from RNAcentral.